UCCCCAGGGAAGCGGUCACAGCCCUGAGCCUGCCAGAGUUCAAGAAGCAUUUGGACAACACUCUCAGACUCAGGUCUGAGGUUUUGUGUGGUCCUUUGGGGACUCAGGAGUUGGAUGUGAUGAUCCCUUGUGGAUCCCUUCCAACUCGGAUAUUAUGAUUCUAUAAUACAGCUACGUAACUGUUAUACUUGCAUUUUUUGUGACUUUUUUAGUUGAAUGUCACAAGGUAAAAUUGAAAAUAGACAAUUACCAUCAUAGUUUGUUGCAAGGAGUGUUGCUAGAUAAGUUUGUGUAUAUAGCUACAGCUAGCUUUUAUGUUCUUCCCUCCCCCCAAUGUAGCACACAAUUUUCAACACUGGUUAUAAUAAAACUUUGUUAACCAUAGGUUACAACCAUAUACACAAAUUCUUGAAUCCAAUUUGGACAGAGCUCAUUACUUUUAUCUCCUAAGAUUGGGCUGCAUUCACUGGCUGGAUGAAAGAGAAUUAUACAUUUUCAGAAAGUGUGCAAUUCCUCUAGGAUUUCUGUAACCAUGGUAACAUAUAUAGAUAGCAGGCCUAAUUCCAGCCCAUGUUUUAUUGUGCCAGCAGUAAAGAAUUAGAUUCUAAAAAUACCACCCUAGCCCUUGGAAUGAAGUAUUGGCAUUUUACUUCCCUGUUAAAAAAAAUGCAGGUUAUAUAUUGCUACACUUUAACAAACACAUUAAGUAUAAAAUGCCAAGAAUUGUUCCCUGGUACAGCUAUGCAGGAUGUCCUGUUUCUUUAAACAUCCACAGUG
Cygnus olor (mute swan) is the source of this 777-nucleotide long non-coding RNA. RefSeq lists it as uncharacterized. The record is from RefSeq and is a predicted model, not a curated record. The transcript has 3 exons. Lineage: Eukaryota; Metazoa; Chordata; Aves; Anseriformes; Anatidae.